CGGCGGACGGGUGAGUAACACGUGGAUAACCUACCUAUAAGACUGGGAUAACUUCGGGAAACCGGAGCUAAUACCGGAUAAUAUAUUGAACCGCAUGGUUCAAUGGUGAAAGACGGUUUUGCUGUCGCUUAUAGAUGGAUCCGCGCCGCAUUAGCUAGUUGGUAAGGUAACGGCUUACCAAGGCAACGAUGCGUAGCCGACCUGAGAGGGUGAUCGGCCACACUGGAACUGAGACACGGUCCAGACUCCUACGGGAGGCAGCAGGC
RNAcentral lists this ribosomal RNA (266 nucleotides) under uncultured Staphylococcus sp. Its description in RNAcentral is "partial 16S ribosomal RNA". It matches the Rfam family "Bacterial small subunit ribosomal RNA", at positions 96 to 354 of the family's 1533-position model. Lineage: Bacteria; Bacillati; Bacillota; Bacilli; Caryophanales; Staphylococcaceae. The record is from RNAcentral.